UUUUUUUUCUUUCUCCUUAUCUUCUCCACCGCCUAACUCCCUCAACCUUAUCCCCUAUACACAGCACCUCAGCUCCCUCACGCAGCACUCCCUGCUCUCCCACGCGUCGCUCUCUCUCGCUGGACGUCAUCUCCCAGCCGAUCCCUCCCAUGGCUGCCUCUCCUCCAUCUCCCUCCCUCCCUGUGUGGUGUCCAGCCGAUGCUCUCUCCCAUGGACGCCCUCCCCCUCUUGCAGCAAGUCAGCAACCCCAUCUCCUCUGCCCUCCAUCCCCAGCUCGCCCCUCAACCAUGGAUACUGCCAGCCCUGGCACUCGCCCUCUGCACGCCAUUGCUCUCCUUCCUGCAGCAAGCCCCAUCUCUACUGGCGCUCUAAUUUUCAGUCAUCCCGCAUGGCCGGCGUCCUCCCCAUUUUCUACAGGUACGUUAAUUAAUCACGUGAUGUGGAGAAUAAGAGAUGGGUUGAUCACAAGAUGAUGCUAAUGGACGAAGCUAAAGAUGAUAAAUCAACCAAGUGCCAGGAUGGGAGGUGCUCGCCAAGCGAGUAUCAUCUAACAACACUGACGUAGUGUUUAUUCUAGGCAAGCCCCGGUGCAUUUACCCCUUCCUUGUAUUUUUAAAAAGACUUUUAUACACUUAAGUCUAAUGAAAUGUGCAUUAAGUUUUAGGAAUUG
This is a long non-coding RNA of Zea mays, 670 nucleotides long. RefSeq lists it as uncharacterized. The transcript is spliced from 2 exons. Lineage: Eukaryota; Viridiplantae; Streptophyta; Magnoliopsida; Poales; Poaceae. The record is from RefSeq and is a predicted model, not a curated record.